GACGAACGCUGGCGGCGUGCUUAACACAUGCAAGUCGAACGAUGAAGCCUAGCUUGCUAGGUGGAUUAGUGGCGAACGGGUGAGUAAUACGUGAGUGACCUACCUUUGACUCUGGGAUAAGCCUGGGAAACUGGGUCUAAUACCGGAUACGACCAAUCUCCGCAUGGGGUGUUGGUGGAAAGCGUUAUGGAGUGGUUUUAGAUGGGCUCACGGCCUAUCAGCUUGUUGGUGAGGUAAUGGCUUACCAAGGCGACGACGGGUAGCCGGCCUGAGAGGGUGACCGGCCACACUGGGACUGAGACACGGCCCAGACUCCUACGGGAGGCAGCAGUGGGGAAUAUUGCACAAUGGGCGCAAGCCUGAUGCAGCGACGCCGCGUGAGGGAUGACGGCCUUUCGGGUUGUAAACCUCUGUUAGCAUCGAAGAAGCGAAAGUGACGGUAGGUGCAGAGAAAGCCCGCUAACUAC
Molecule: ribosomal RNA, 467 nt
Filed under: Rothia dentocariosa
Lineage: Bacteria; Bacillati; Actinomycetota; Actinomycetes; Micrococcales; Micrococcaceae
Description: bacterial SSU rRNA
Rfam family: Bacterial small subunit ribosomal RNA
Source: RNAcentral